GAGAGUGCUCUUUGAGGACGUGGGCAAGGAGCUGAGGGUGGAAUUUCCUUCUCUGAAGCACUUGACAGCAGCCCAAAGGUGACCCGUUGGAGAGUCAGACAGGUGUUACGGGAGAGGCGCAGGCGGCUGGACUCGGGGCGAGGCUGGGCAAACUUCUGUGGGAGUUGCUGAUGCUGGAGCUGUGAGCUGUUUAUGGAGAAAUGUCUAAAGGUAACAGAAGGAAGGUUGCAGUAUUUACAUUGCUGAUGACACUGGGCUUUUCUGGCAUGGUGUGGCCUUCCCAGAAAUACCCAGGCCUCCAAGGACAUCAACAGCACAACAGGGCACAAGUCAGUGAAGGAGUGCCUUGAUGCUGGCUUGUGCUGACACUGACGGCUCCCACGGACUCAAGCUGGUAAUCCCUUCGAUAAGGGAGGACAAGGAGCCAAGCUGGAAGGAAGACUGCACAGGAUGGAAAUUUGAUCUUCAGCUGGAUGGCGAGCAGAUUGAAGACGUGCAGCUGUCCUGCCUGGCGGAGCGCACCAUGACCUUCCGACCCUCCAACAAGCUGUGGUCUACUGGCGGCAUGGCAGCACUCCAUCACUCUUCUUGCCACAGGUGGUCUACUGGCAGCAUGGCAGCACUCCAUCACUCUUGCCACAGGGUCCAGGGACAACUCGGCAGGUGGGCAACCUUCAGGAGCAGUCUGUCUGUUGGGAAGAAUGGAGGAGCAUGUUAACUCUACAAUGUACAUAUGAACAACCAAAAAUAAACCACGUACAUUCAAA
Eriocheir sinensis (Chinese mitten crab) is the source of this 767-nucleotide RNA transcript. RefSeq lists it as uncharacterized. The transcript is spliced from 5 exons. Lineage: Eukaryota; Metazoa; Arthropoda; Malacostraca; Decapoda; Varunidae. The record is from RefSeq and is a predicted model, not a curated record.